GACGAACGCUGGCGGCGUGCUUAACACAUGCAAGUCGAACGGAAAGGCCCUGCUGUUGUGGGGUGCUCGAGUGGCGAAAGGGUGAGUAACACGUGAGUAACCUGCCCUUGACUUUGGGAUAACUUCAGGAAACUGGGGCUAAUACCGGAUAGGAGCUCCUGCGGCAUGGUGGGGGUUGGAAAGUUUCGGCGGUUGGGGAUGGACUCGCGGCUUAUCAGCUUGUUGGUGGGGUAGUGGCUUACCAAGGCUUUGACGGGUAGCCGGCCUGAGAGGGUGACCGGCCACAUUGGGACUGAGAUACGGCCCAGACUCCUACGGGAGGCAGCAGUGGGGAAUAUUGCACAAUGGGCGGAAGCCUGAUGCAGCAACGCCGCGUGCGGGAUGACGGCCUUCGGGUUGUAAACCGCUUUCGCCUGUGACGAAGCGUGAGUGACGGUAAUGGGUAAAGAAGCACCGGCUAACUACGUG
This 468-nucleotide ribosomal RNA is filed under the name uncultured bacterium. RNAcentral's name for it is "partial 16S ribosomal RNA". It matches the Rfam family "Bacterial small subunit ribosomal RNA", at positions 28 to 507 of the family's 1533-position model. The record is from RNAcentral.